This 66-nucleotide transfer RNA is filed under the name Curculionoidea sp. 2 KM-2017. RNAcentral describes it as "tRNA-Trp". Lineage: Eukaryota; Metazoa; Arthropoda; Insecta; Coleoptera. The record is from RNAcentral.
AAGAAUUUAAGUUAAUAUAAACUAUUGACCUUCAAAGUCAAAAUCAGAAAUUUAUUCUAAUUCUUA